This 460-nucleotide ribosomal RNA is filed under the name uncultured bacterium. RNAcentral describes it as "partial 16S ribosomal RNA". It matches the Rfam family "Bacterial small subunit ribosomal RNA", at positions 338 to 795 of the family's 1533-position model. The record is from RNAcentral.
CCUACGGGUGACAGCAGUGAGGAAUAUUGGUCAAUGGCCGGAAGGCUGAACCAGCCAUGCCGCGUGAAGGUCAGUGCCCUAUGGGCGUUAAACUUCUUUUGUGCGGGAGCAAUAAUGGUCACGUGUGGCCAGACGAGAGUACCGUACGAAUAAGCAUCGGCUAACUCCGUGCCAGCAGCCGCGGUAAUACGGGGGGUGCAAGCGUUAUCCGGAUUUAUUGGGUUUAAAGGGUUCGUAGGCUGGGAGGUAAGGCAGCGGUGAAAUGCCCCCGGUUAACGGGGUGAAGUGCCAUUGAUACUGCCUGGCUGGAAUGCGGAUGCCGUGGGAGGAAUGUGUGGUGUAGCGGUGAAAUGCAUAGAUAUCACACAGAACACCGAUUGCGAAGGCAUCUCACGAAUCCGCGAUUGACGCUGAUGCACGAAAGCGUGGGUAUCAAACAGGAUUAGAUACCCGUGUAGUC